This 407-nucleotide ribosomal RNA is filed under the name uncultured Chroococcales cyanobacterium. Its description in RNAcentral is "bacterial SSU rRNA". It matches the Rfam family "Bacterial small subunit ribosomal RNA", at positions 355 to 776 of the family's 1533-position model. The record is from RNAcentral. Lineage: Bacteria; Bacillati; Cyanobacteriota; Cyanophyceae; Chroococcales.
UGGGGAAUUUUCCGCAAUGGGCGAAAGCCUGACGGAGCAAUACCGCGUGAGGGAGGAAGGCAUUAGUGUUGUAAACCUCUUUUCUUUGGGAAGAAGUUCUGACGGUACCAAAGGAAUAAGCAUCGGCUAACUCCGUGCCAGCAGCCGCGGUAAUACGGAGGAUGCAAGCGUUAUCCGGAAUCAUUGGGCGUAAAGCGUCCGUAGGUGGUCUUUCAAGUCUGCUGUCAAAGAGUGCAGCUUAACUGCAUAAAGGCGGUGGAAACUGGGAGACUAGAGUUCGGUAGGGGUAGCGGGAAUUCCCAGUGUAGCGGUGAAAUGCGUAGAGAUUGGGAAGAACAUCGGUGGCGAAGGCGCGCUACUGGGCCGAAACUGACACUCACAGGACGAAAGCUAGGGGAGCGAAAGGG